Molecule: long non-coding RNA, 3075 nt
Organism: Macaca mulatta (Rhesus monkey)
Lineage: Eukaryota; Metazoa; Chordata; Mammalia; Primates; Cercopithecidae
Source: Ensembl
AUGGAACCUACAAAUGUGACUUUAUUUGGAAAUAGGGUCUUUGCAGAUGUAAUUAAGAUGUACUCCACAGGUCUGGGGAGAUCAAGGCCAACAGCAUGCUGUAUUAGGAUGGUCCCAGUCCAACAACUGAUGCCCUUAUACGAGGGAAGUCUGGGCACAGACACACAGAGGAGGCCACGCGGUGGUGGAGCCAGAGAUGUGUCUACAAACCAAGGAGCGAGCAGGUCCGCCGGCCACCACCAGAAGCUGGCAGGGGUGAGGAAGUCAUUCUUCCGUGGGGGCUUCAGAGGGAGCAUGGUCCCAGUACACCUUGAGUGUUGGCCUCCUGGCCUCCAGAGCUGUGAGAAAAUCCAUGUCUGUUGUUUGAAGCUGCUGAGUUUGUGGCAUUUUGUUAUGGCUGUCCCAGGAAAGAAAUACAAUCACCAAAUGUCAAACACAGGGCAGCUGGGAAAAACAAGAAGGAAAUGCAUGAGGCACAUAAAGAAAAGACUUGGAAGAGACCAAGGAGGGACAGGAAGGAACGCUUCCUCAACUUCCUCCUCGCACCCUGACAGGAAGCCAGAGAUCUACUGGCUGAGCCUUGGAAGAAGUGGCUACUUUCCCCCACGCAAGAGCGGAACCCUCAAGACCAGCAAGGGGGGCACCUGAGAACAGAAAGCAGAGUCGCACCCACAUCCUGGGCAGGCUGACUCAGUUGCUUGAAUCCUGCCUCUAGGGCCAAGGUCACCAUUUGAUCCUGGUCUGAGCCAGCUUUGUCCUACUGGAGGAAAGCUUGGAACCAUGAAUCCUGGUUGGUCAUCUCCUGCUUGGCUGUUUUGCUCACAAUGGGAACCUGGUCUGGAAUGAUGCACUAUCACUCAUCGCUCCACCGAAAGAUGCGCCCGGUGCACAUCCCCAGGACCGUGUUACCCAUCAUCUUUACGCAUGGGGCUCAGAAUGCACAGAGCGGUGUGUGCAUGCGGCAACGUGUAUACACCGUGUGUGUCUGGGAGGUGCUCUCAUCAUCUCUGGCCGCAUCCUGCAGAGGGUCCUGCAGCCUCUACCUGGCUUCUGGCUCUUUAUUUAUUUAUUUAUUUAUCUAUUUUAGACGGAGUCUGGCUCUGUCUCCAGGCUGGAGUGCAGUGGAAUGAUCUCCGCUCAUUGCAACUUCCGCGACCCAGAUUCAAGUGAUUCUCCCGCUUCAGUCUCCCAAGUAGCUGGGACUAUAGGCAUGCAGCACUGUCAGCAGUUAAUUCGUUUGUAUUUUUAGUAGAGACGGGGUUUCUCCAUGCUGGCCAAGCUGGUCUUGAACUCCUGACCUCAGGUGAUCCCCCGACCUUGGCCUCCCAAAGGGCUGGGAUUACAGAGGUGCCUCUUUUAAUUGACUCCUCUCUAGGCAUCUCUCCUUCCAGCCACAGAGACUGGCCUGGUGGUCCCAGGGCCCCAGGUGAAGGCCUCUCUCCUCCCCCACUCAGUUCUGACCAGCUCUGUUUCCAUCCUGGUAUAGGCACAAGGUCUCUUGCUGCAGCUGGGCUAGUUUGCUGACCACCUCAGCUCCUUCUCUUAGACUGGAGAGGCCUGGAAGGGUGCCCGAGGGAGGGUCUGGGCUGCUCUCCUGGGCUCCUCCCCUUCCACUCCAGGGCUCUGGCUGGAGCCUGGUCAGGGUCCUUACUGAGUUCUCAGCUAAGCCCCAGCCCUGUGACGGCCUGAGGGGUCUGGUGGAGAAGCCCCAAAGUGAGGGCUCCAUAGCCUUCCACUGUCCCUCCCCGAGCUUGGGCAGUGCAAGCAGUCUCUGAAGGUCUUCUGGGUAGCCUUCCUUCCGUAUGCCCUCUUUUUUUUUUUUUUUUUUGAGACGGAGUCUCGCUCUGUCGCCCGGGCUGGAGUGCAGUGGCCGAAUCUCAGCUCACUGCAAGCUCCGCCUCCCGGGUUCCCGCUAUUCUCCUGCCUCAGCCUCCCGAGUAGCUGGGACUACAGGCGCCCGCCACCUCGCCCGGCUAGUUUUUUGUAUUUUUUAGUAGAGACGGGGUUUCACCGUGUUAGCCAGGAUGGUCUCGAUCUCCUGACCUCGUGAUCCGCCCGUCUCGGCCUCCCAAAGUGCUGGGAUUACAGGCUUGAGCCACCGUGCCCGGCCCCAUGCCCUCUUGCCUACUUUCCCCAGGUGGCCAAGGGACACUAAAAAAGGCAGUGAAUGGCUAGAGGACCACUCUUGAAAGUCAACCUGCCUCCCUCCUGGUGCCAGCUCCUUUCCCUCCAGCCUCCUUUUCAUAGAAUUCUACAAGAGGAAACAGGUCAUCUCCCCACCUUCUCCAAGUUUCCAGAAAGGAUGGGUUAGAGGGAUUUGGCGUUCUCUGAGGCUUCAGUCCAAACCUUGGACAUUGGGCUGGCCAGAGAUCUUGCUGGGGUUUCCUUGGGAAUCGUAUAUCCAUUGGGAGCACUAGCCCUGAACACCUGGGGCUCCCCACCUGCUAGGAGCUGGGAGGACUCUGGUGUUCCCUGUCAUCCCCCAGGGUCUAGGUGGAUGGAAUGGCAGCCCAGGACUGUUCCCCAGGCUGACCCGGACUCUAAUGAGAGCCAAGAGUGGACCUAGCUGUCAUUUAGAUCCCUGAGGGAGCCUUCACAGUAGCUGCUAAGCGGAGGCCCUGGCAGUGGAGAGGGUUCUCACACGUAGGAGAGGCAGUACUUAAGCAAGUAGCAGUGGAAAGGGCACUGGAUCUGACGCCAGCAGAGAGGUGGUCUAUUUCUGCUUCGCUCACUACUUAUCUGUGAUCUGAGGCAAGCCUAACCCUCUACAGCUUAGUUUACUCAUCUGGAAAGUGUGGUAUAUUUUAUUUUACCUGCCUUACAUCUGAGGCAUGGAGGGAGGACGAAAUGAGAUCACCUAUUAAAAUGCAUUUUGAAAAAACAGAAGUGCUAUUUAUGCAAACACAUGGUACUAAAAAUAAAAGACGCCUGUUUGCUUCUGGAAGUAAAAGUUGUGAAUGAGGCCGGGCUCUGUGGCUCACACCUGUAAUCCCAGCACUUUGGGAGGCCAAGGUGGGUGGAUCACAAGGUCAAGAGAUUGAGACAACUGCAACAUGUGAACCCAUUUACUAAAAA